AUACUAAUUAAUAUAUAAUAUCUUAGAUUAUUAAUAGAUAUAUCCUUUAAAUUUGAAGAAUUUGGCGGUGGUUUAGUCUUGUUAGAGGAGCCUGUUUUUGAAUCGAUACACCACGCAUUAUCUUACUUAUUUUAUUUAGUUUGUAUACCGUCAUUAUCAGAUAAUCUUAGAAAAGAAAAUUGUUGAAGUUUAAAGGAGUAUAAACAAAAUUAGAUCAAGGUGCAGCUUAUAAAUAAGUUAAAAUGGGCUACAAUAAAAUUUAUUUAUUAUGAAAUAAUGAUUAGAAGUAGAGUUAUGAAGGUGGAUUUAAUUGUAAUAGAAGUUUAAUAAGCUAAAAAGAUAUAAGCUCUAAU
RNAcentral lists this ribosomal RNA (353 nucleotides) under Chlorodiella cytherea. Its description in RNAcentral is "partial 12S ribosomal RNA". Lineage: Eukaryota; Metazoa; Arthropoda; Malacostraca; Decapoda; Xanthidae. The record is from RNAcentral.